This 238-nucleotide ribosomal RNA is filed under the name uncultured bacterium. RNAcentral's name for it is "partial 16S ribosomal RNA". It matches the Rfam family "Bacterial small subunit ribosomal RNA", at positions 96 to 334 of the family's 1533-position model. The record is from RNAcentral.
CGGCGGACGGGCGAGUAACGCGUGGGUAACCUACCCUGUACACACGGAUAACAUACCGAAAGGUAUGCUAGUACGGGAUAAUAUAUUUGAGAGGCAUCUCUUGAAUAUCAAAGGUGAGCCAGUACAGGAUGGACCCGCGUCUGAUUAGCUAGUUGGUAAGGUAACGGCUUACCAAGGCGACGAUCAGUAGCCGACCUGAGAGGGUGAUCGGCCACAUUGGAACUGAGACACGGUCCAA